CAUGGCUCAGAUUGAACGCUGGCGGCAUGCUUUACACAUGCAAGUCGAACGGCAGCGCGGGGUAACCUGGCGGCGAGUGGCGAACGGGUGAGUAAUAUAUCGGAACGUACCCAGAAGUGGGGGAUAACGUAGCGAAAGUUACGCUAAUACCGCAUACGAUCUACGGAUGAAAGUGGGGGACCUUCGGGCCUCAUGCUUGUGGAGCGGCCGAUAUCUGAUUAGCUAGUUGGUAGGGUAAAGGCCUACCAAGGCGACGAUCAGUAGCUGGUCUGAGAGGACGACCAGCCACACUGGGACUGAGACACGGCCCAGACUCCUACGGGAGGCAGCAGUGGGGAAUUUUGGACAAUGGGCGCAAGCCUGAUCCAGCAAUGCCGCGUGAGUGAAGAAGGCCUUCGGGUUGUAAAGCUCUUUUGUCAGGGAAGAAACGGCAGAGGCUAAUAUCCUUUGCUAAUGACGGUACCUGAAGAAUAAGCACCGGCUAACUACGUGCCAGCAGCCGCGGUAAUACGUAGGGUGCAAGCGUUAAUCGGAAUUACUGGGCGUAAAGCGUGCGCAGGCGGGUUUUGUAAGUCUGACGUGAAAUCCCCGGGGCUCAACCUGGGAAUUUGCGUUGGAGACUGCAAGGCUGGAGUCUGGCAGAGGGGGGGUAGAAUUUCCACGUGUAGCAGNGAAUGCGUAGAGAUGUNGNGGGAACACCGGAUGGCGAAAGGCAGCCCCCUGGGGUCAAGAACUGACGCUCAUGGCACGAAAGCNNGGGGGGAGCAAACAGGGAUUAGAAUACCCUGG
This 789-nucleotide ribosomal RNA is filed under the name uncultured soil bacterium. Its description in RNAcentral is "bacterial SSU rRNA". It matches the Rfam family "Bacterial small subunit ribosomal RNA", at positions 18 to 790 of the family's 1533-position model. The record is from RNAcentral.